CCUACGGGGGGCUGCAGUGGGGAAUUUUCCGCAAUGGGCGAAAGCCUGACGGAGCAAGACCGCGUGAGGGAGGAAGGCUCUUGGGUUGUAAACCUCUUUUCUUGGGGAAGAACAAAAUGACGGUACCCAAGGAAUCAGCAUCGGCUAACUCCGUGCCAGCAGCCGCGGUAAUACGGAGGAUGCAAGCGUUAUCCGGAAUUAUUGGGCGUAAAGCGUCCGCAGGUGGCACUUCAAGUCUGCUGUCAAAGACCGGGGCUUAACCCUGGAGAGGCAGU
RNAcentral lists this ribosomal RNA (275 nucleotides) under uncultured bacterium. RNAcentral's name for it is "partial 16S ribosomal RNA". It matches the Rfam family "Bacterial small subunit ribosomal RNA", at positions 338 to 627 of the family's 1533-position model. The record is from RNAcentral.